AGACGUAUUAUCCACGUGUUGCUCAAAUCAGUGUGUGUUUGCAAACACGAGUUUCAGUUUCAUGAAGAAUGAGUGACUAUUCAGCUAAAAACUGUUAGACCCUCUCCCAUUUCAUGACUGGAGCCGUGCCACAACAACCAUGGCUAUGUUGUUGCGCAAGGUAUGGGAAUCCGUAUCUACUCGUUCCACUUCGAGCAAUUCCACCUCAACUUCGAUCUCGACUGUCAAUUCCAUGGAUCGGUUCGACCAGAUGAUGAUGUAUAUACAGACGGCGUCCACCGGAGAAUUUGAUCGGAUUCCGUUAGAUAUUUUCAUUCAAAUUUUGAAGAUUUUAGGGCCAAAAGAGUCUGCUAAGCUGACUUCUGUAUGUAAAUCCUGGAAAUACAUUGUUUCCGAUAAUCGCCUAUGGAUUUACUUUCUUCAGAAUCACCAUGAGCCUUGGGAUUCUACUUUUUUCUCUGAAACUCACUUGAGAUCUGGACCUCUUAGGACGUUUCCAAAUUCAGUACCAGAAUUGUCAUUCAUGAGUAUUUAUGGUCAACGUGCUCAAGUGCCCGGUGCUAUUAUUAUUGAUGGUGGGUCUGGCUAUUGCAAAUUUGGUUGGAGUAAGUAUAGUGCUCCGUCAGGGAGAUCAGCGACAUUUUUGGAGUUUGGCAACAUUGAAUCUCCAAUGUAUUCUAGAUUGAGACACUUCUUUUCAACGAUAUACACCAGGAUGCAGGUGAAAACUUCAACACAGCCGAUCAUUGUGUCCAUUCCGAUUUGCCAUUAUGAUGGUCAGUUUCUAUUUGGGCGUUGCUGAAAAUCCAGUCAAAUUUCUGUAAAUAUAACGUAUCAACGACUCAAUUUGUUG
This 853-nucleotide unclassified non-coding RNA is filed under the name Hevea brasiliensis (rubber tree). The record is from RNAcentral. Lineage: Eukaryota; Viridiplantae; Streptophyta; Magnoliopsida; Malpighiales; Euphorbiaceae.